RNAcentral lists this unclassified non-coding RNA (238 nucleotides) under Hevea brasiliensis (rubber tree). Lineage: Eukaryota; Viridiplantae; Streptophyta; Magnoliopsida; Malpighiales; Euphorbiaceae. The record is from RNAcentral.
GACUGCUCUGCUUAUGGCUGCUCCACUGGCUUUAGGAGAUGUGGAGAUUGAAAUCAUUGACAAACUAAUAUCUGUACCUUAUGUCGAAAUGACUUUGAAGUUGAUGGAGCGAUUUGGUAUAUCUGUGGAGCACAAUAGUAGCUGGGACAGGUUCUUUGUCCGAGGAGGUCAGAAAUACAAGUCUCCUGGAAAAGCUUAUGUGGAAGGUGAUGCUUCAAGUGCUAGUUACUUCUUGGCU